GCAGAGGAGAUAGAAGAAGCUUGAUGGCGGUGGAGGCAUAAGAAGCCUGACGGCUGAGAAGGCGUGGCGAGCAUAUCGGUUCGUCGGUUCAGCCGUAACACCGGUGGCUCUACCACCAGCAGACUCAUCGCUUAACCCAUGGCAUCCAGAGCAGGUGGAGGUGUCGGUGUAAAAUCUGAUGGAGGUGUCGGUGGAGAAGCCGGUGGCGGAGCCGAUGGUGGAGCGGUGGAGGCGUUGAUAUAUAUAUAUAUAUGUAUGUAAUUUUCUGUAAAUAUAUGUAAUUACGUAUAUUACAUAAUUUGUGUUUUCUGAAUUAAAUUACUAAAAAAAUUAUUUUUAUUUUGUGUUUUUUUUUUUUUUAAAUAUUUUUUGCAGAUAGUCACGUAAAGUCACAAUAAAAAAACGUGACUGAGUAGAUACAAUUGUUUUUAUGACUAAUGUGACAAUUAUAGUCACGAAUGAAACUGUGUCCAACAUGUGACUAUUUUAGUCACGAAUUAUCACAGUUAAUUUUGGUCACGACCGUAUAGACACAUUUUUUUUCCGUGACUUUUCGUGUCUAUGAUGUCAUAUAGUCACGAAAAAUGAGUCUCAGUCACGAAAAUUACCGUGUCUAUAUCAAAGUUUUCUACUAGUGUAACUAAUGCAUGGAUAUAUAUAUUAUAAGCAAUAGAGG
RNAcentral lists this long non-coding RNA (676 nucleotides) under Brassica napus (rape). RNAcentral's name for it is "long non-coding RNA (BNAP_LNC016958)". Lineage: Eukaryota; Viridiplantae; Streptophyta; Magnoliopsida; Brassicales; Brassicaceae. The record is from RNAcentral.